This 657-nucleotide long non-coding RNA is filed under the name Ornithorhynchus anatinus (platypus). RNAcentral describes it as "lncRNA (ENSOANG00000036274.1)". The record is from RNAcentral. Lineage: Eukaryota; Metazoa; Chordata; Mammalia; Monotremata; Ornithorhynchidae.
CCACGUGCGUACGGUCCCAUAAUAAUGAUAAUGAUGGUAUUUGUUAAGCUAUUACUAUGUGACAGGCACUGUUCUAAGCGCUAGUGUAGAUACAAGCUAAUCAGGUUGGACACAGUCCCUGUCCCACAUAGGGCUCACGGUCUUAAUCCCCAUUUCACAGAUGAGGUGACUGAGGCCCAGAGAAGCAAAGUGUCUUGCCCAAAGUCACAAAGGAGACAAGUGGCGGAGCUGGGAUUAGAACCCCGUCGUUCUGGCCCCCCGGGCCCGUGUUCUAGCCACGAGGCGAUGCUGCUUCCCCUGGCCAGAGACCGGGAUGUCCUCCAAGUCGUCAGCAGGGAAGGCGAGUGGUUUCUUGGAUGGCAGGCGUUUGCCAUGGACAGAGGCGGCCCCGAUCCUGAAGCAGAGUCGGCCCGGUGCGCGUGUCUGAAGAUGAGUUGGGUGGCGUGCGUGACACUUUCUCCCGAUCUGCUCAUAUAGAUGACGGUGCCAAGUGUCUACAGGCGAGGGAUGGAAUCGGUCCUCUCUCCCGUGAAGCCAAGUUACCUUACGUUAACGGAGAUUAUGGUGACUCUGAAAUGUCUCCGUCCCGAUCUCUGCCAACGCAGAGGCCCCUGCAUGGAGGAUCACAGUCACGGCUUUAGAAGCCUAAUUGCUCUU